Molecule: ribosomal RNA, 490 nt
Filed under: uncultured bacterium
Lineage: Bacteria
Description: partial 16S ribosomal RNA
Rfam family: Bacterial small subunit ribosomal RNA
Source: RNAcentral
AUUGAACGCUGGCGGCAGGCCUAACACAUGCAAGUCGAACGGUAACAGGAAGAAGCUUGCUUCUUUGCUGACGGGUGGCGGACGGGUGAGUAAUGUCUGGGAAACUGCCUGAUGGAGGGGGAUAACUACUGGAAACGGUAGCUAAUACCGCAUAACGUCGCAAGACCAAAGAGGGGGACCUUCGGGCCUCUUGCCAUCGGAUGUGCCCAGAUGGGAUUAGCUAGUAGGUGGGGUAACGGCUCACCUAGGCGACGAUCCCUAGCUGGUCUGAGAGGAUGACCAGCCACACUGGAACUGGGACACGGUCCAGACUCCUACGGGAGGCAGCAGUGGGGAAUAUUGCACAAUGGGCGCAAGCCUGAUGCAGCCAUGCCGCGUGUAUGAAGAAGGCCUUCGGGUUGUAAAGUACUUUCAGCGGGGAGGAAGGGAGUAAAGUUAAUACCUUUGCUCAUUGACGUUACCCGCAGAAGAAGCACCGGCUAACUCCGUG